UUUUUGUAGCUUAUUCAGAUUUACUGACUUUAUGUAUAUUAUAUGUUAGACUUAUCUUAAUAUAACUUGAAAAUAUUUUUUAAUACAAGUUUUAUUUUAUCUUGGCUUUUGAGGUCAUGCUCUGGAGAUGACAUGGCUCUUUUCUUUUUGUUUCUCCUCCCCUCACAGUGACUGGAGUUUGGGGUCUUCUUGCACUUCGCCUUGCUGAGGAUCCGAUUUUACCUUUUAAUUAUCUCACAUAUGCUGUUCAGCUGCAGGUAUAUUAAAGCGUAAGCUACUGUUAAAUGUUAAUACCUCUGACCUAGUGCAUUUAGAUGCUGGAAUAUUAUGAUGCUUGGUUCUUGGAAGAAGCAUUAUUCCCACGCCAUAAAGUGCAUAAAUUGAAUUGUUAACUGUUAAUACCUCUGACCUAGUGCAUUUAGAUGCUGGAAUAUUAUGAUGCUUGGUUCUUGGAAGAAGCAUUAUUCCCACGCCAUAAAGUGCAUAAAUUGAAUACCUUUUUUAUGCAUCUCUCAUAUCUAUAUUGUGCUAAUUUCGUCCAUGAUAUUCAGUGUAUGCUUGGCCAGUGUGAUUGCUCUCGACCAAACUCACUUGAAUGCAUCUAUUUAUUUCUUAUAGAAGAAGAAAAAACACGAUUUCCUUUAUACUAUGUGAUUGGCUCUAAAAAAUGCAUGUUUUAUGAGGAUGAGGAGGUGAAUUCCUUUGAAGCCAGCAAUAGUUAUGCUUGCUCUACUCAAGAUCAUAAUCGAUAUUUAUUUUCAAUGAGCAUCACACAAGAUCUCUCCUUCUCCCUGACCUUCACUGGCAACACCCUUUCCUGCGGGUUAAUCCGUACUACUUUACAGGACUACACCCAUAUUCUGAGUGACUUAUUGGAAGGAGGCAUCUCUUUGCAUCCUAUUACUGCUGCCAUUCAAGAUCUAGCUGCUGCAGCUAUAGAAACUCUGGAAGAAGCAAAGGUCAAACAUCAAACUUUAAAUUUUAGAUAUACCUUUCCUGUGGGUUAAUCCGUACUACUUUACAGGACUACACCCAUAUUCUGAGUGACUUAUUGGAAGGAGGCAUCUCUUUACAUCCUAUUACUGCUGCCAUUCAAGAUCUAGCUGCUGCAGCUAUAGAAACUCUGGAAGAAGCAAAGGUCAAACAUCAAACUUUAAAUUUUAGAUAUAAAACGUUGUUGGACAAUUUUAGUCUGUUGAAGCCUUCUUUGUUUCUUCCAAAGUAGUUAUGAUCGGAUACCGAGCAUUGGGAAGUAACGGAGAAAAUUUGUGGAAUGAAAAGCUUAAAUAAUGGGGUCCUGGAAUGAAGUUUACCUUUAAUGCUACUUUUCUUCUAUUUGUAAUUUAUAAUCUUCACAAGUACUGGAAGUUUUAACAAGUUAGCUAUAGGAAGUUUUCCUCUGAACCUAGGUCCCUAUCUCCCUUAUACAUGGUAAUCUGUAGUAACAAAUCUUACAUAAACAGAUAUACUAUGUAGAACAUAGAGAGGAAACACGAAAGAGAUUCCUGAUAAUUGAAACUGAGCAAAAGAAAAGGAGAAACAACUAAUGAUGCCUUUGUUUUCUAUUACUUGGAUUGCUAUUAGUAUAAGUUUAUAACAUGAGAUGAUGUUCCAAAAUGUUCUCCAAAAAUCAAAGAUUCACUGGGUGAGUUUAGUAAAAGUAAGGGACAAGGGCCAAAGACUGCCACCUUUUCCUACUGGUUAUGCAUUUUAAAUUGUGUGGGAUUGACAUCUAAAUUUUUCAACACUAUUUUAUGUUUUGCUUGCUUCUUUGUUUUAGAUUUUAUUUUUUUAUUUUUAAUAUUACUCUUAUGCUGGUGAUUUCAUAUUCACUCUGGUUCUCCAUUUCUAUUCCUAAAC
This 1860-nucleotide long non-coding RNA is filed under the name Nicotiana benthamiana. RNAcentral's name for it is "long non-coding RNA (NBEN_LNC034795)". Lineage: Eukaryota; Viridiplantae; Streptophyta; Magnoliopsida; Solanales; Solanaceae. The record is from RNAcentral.